This 286-nucleotide ribosomal RNA is filed under the name Blastocystis sp. RNAcentral describes it as "partial small subunit ribosomal RNA". It matches the Rfam family "Eukaryotic small subunit ribosomal RNA", at positions 42 to 348 of the family's 1831-position model. The record is from RNAcentral. Lineage: Eukaryota; Bigyra; Opalinata; Blastocystidae.
GAUUAAGCCAUGCAUGUGUAAGUAUAAAUAGUUAACUUUGAAACUGCGAAUGGCUCAUUAUAUCAGUUAUAGUUUAUUUGAUGAAAUAUACUAAUUGGAUAACCGUAGUAAUUCUAGAGCUAAUACAUGCUAUAAGUCUUGUAGACUGCAUUUAUUAGAAUGAAAACCAUAGGUUUCGGCCUAUUCGUGAGUAAUAAUAACUAAUCAUAUCGUAUGCUUUUGUAACGAUGUGUCUUUCAAGUUUCUGCCCUAUCAGCUUUCGAUGGUAGUGUAUUGGACUACCAUG